GUCUAGAGAAUCGUUUUCCGCGUUGGCCUGUGUACAAGUCCCUUGGAACAGGGCGUCAUAGAGGGUGAGAAUCCCGUCCUUGACACAGAUUACCAAUGCUUUGUGAUGCGAUCUCGAAGAGUCGAGUUGUUUGGGAAUGCAGCUCAAAAUGGGUGGUAAAUUCCAUCUAAAGCUAAAUAUUGGCGAGAGACCGAUAGCGAACAAGUACCGUGAGGGAAAGAUGAAAAGCACUUUGGAAAGAGAGUUAAACAGUACGUGAAAUUGUUAAAAGGGAAACGAUUGAAGUCAGUCAUGCUUUCCGAGACUCAGCCGAUUCUGUCGGUGUACUUCUCGGUUGGCAGGCCAGCAUCAGUUUCGAUCUGUGGAAAAGGUUGGAGGGAACGUGGCAUCCUCGGAUGUGUUAUAGCCCUUCUUCGAAUACAUAGAGCGGGACUGAGGAACGCAGCGCGCCUUUUAUUAGGUUGGCCCUCGGGUACAUACGCGCUUAGGAUGCUGGCAUAAUGGCUUUAAACGACCCGUCUUGAAACACGGACCA
RNAcentral lists this ribosomal RNA (535 nucleotides) under Mrakia sp. RNAcentral describes it as "LSU rRNA". It matches the Rfam family "Eukaryotic large subunit ribosomal RNA", at positions 148 to 668 of the family's 3401-position model. Lineage: Eukaryota; Fungi; Basidiomycota; Tremellomycetes; Cystofilobasidiales; Mrakiaceae. The record is from RNAcentral.